This 454-nucleotide ribosomal RNA is filed under the name Clostridioides difficile. Its description in RNAcentral is "bacterial LSU rRNA". It matches the Rfam family "Bacterial large subunit ribosomal RNA", at positions 401 to 856 of the family's 2925-position model. Lineage: Bacteria; Bacillati; Bacillota; Clostridia; Peptostreptococcales; Peptostreptococcaceae. The record is from RNAcentral.
UAUGAUCCAGAGUACCACGGGACACGUGAAACCCUGUGGGAAGCAGGAGGGACCACCCUCCAAGGCUAAAUACUACCUAGUGACCGAUAGCGUAUAGUACCGUGAGGGAAAGGUGAAAAGAACCCCGGGAGGGGAGUGAAAUAGAACCUGAAACCCUGCACUUACAAGCUGUGGAAGCACAUUUCUUGUGUGACCGCGUACUUUUUGUAGAACGGGCCAACGAGUUACGUUAAGUAGCAAGGUUAAGCACUUAAGGUGCGGAGCCGUAGCGAAAGCGAGUUUUAACGGAGCGUUCAGUUACUUGACGUAGACCCGAAACCGGGCGACCUACCCAUGAGCAGGAUGAAGCGAAAGUAAAAUUUCGUGGAGGUCCGAACCCACGAGCGUUGAAAAGCUCGGGGAUGACUUGUGGGUAGCGGUGAAAUUCCAAUCGAGCCCGGAGAUAGCUGGUUCU